CAAGUGUACCAGAUCGUUAUUAAGUAAUAUAAAUGGGUAAGUCCAAGUAUCAUUUCCCAAAGGACUCUUAGGCCUUACUUUUCAUGUAAACAAAUCACAUAAGACUUGAGAAAAGAAUUAAGUUGGUGUUUGUAUGCAAAGAACAAAAGUAAACAUGCAAAUGCAGAUAUUCAAUUGGCUUUAAGAAACUAUGGAUGAAUGGAGUUGUUGGGGUUUACAAUUUCAUCUUUAUCCACCCUCAUAUAUCUACUCUUCUUAUUUAAUUAGCUUAUCUAUCAUAUUGUCAUGCAAACUUUCUUAGUCUACCCUUAACCCAAUCCCUUGAUGAAAAGAACCUAUUAUUAAUUACCGGCUUGCUAUCCCUAACCUCCCC
RNAcentral lists this long non-coding RNA (373 nucleotides) under Vigna radiata. Its description in RNAcentral is "long non-coding RNA (VRAD_LNC012867)". The record is from RNAcentral. Lineage: Eukaryota; Viridiplantae; Streptophyta; Magnoliopsida; Fabales; Fabaceae.